RNAcentral lists this ribosomal RNA (253 nucleotides) under uncultured bacterium. RNAcentral's name for it is "partial 16S ribosomal RNA". It matches the Rfam family "Bacterial small subunit ribosomal RNA", at positions 524 to 776 of the family's 1533-position model. The record is from RNAcentral.
UACGUAGGGUGCAAGCGUUGUCCGGAAUUACUGGGCGUAAAGCGUGCGCAGGCGGUUUUGUAAGUCAGAUGUGAAAUCCCCGGGCUUAACCCGGGAACUGCGUUUGAAACUACAAGGCUAGAGUGUGGCAGAGGGAGGUGGAAUUCCACGUGUAGCAGUGAAAUGCGUAGAGAUGUGGAGGAACACCGAUGGCGAAGGCAGCCCCCUGGGUUAACACUGACGCUCAGGCACGAAAGCGUGGGGAGCAAACAGG